RNAcentral lists this ribosomal RNA (440 nucleotides) under uncultured bacterium. RNAcentral's name for it is "partial 16S ribosomal RNA". It matches the Rfam family "Bacterial small subunit ribosomal RNA", at positions 338 to 795 of the family's 1533-position model. The record is from RNAcentral.
CCUACGGGCGGCAGCAGUGGGGAAUAUUGCACAAUGGGGGAAACCCUGAUGCAGCGACGCCGCGUGAGUGAAGAAGUAUUUCGGUAUGUAAAGCUCUAUCAGCAGGGAAGAAAAUGACGGUACCUGACUAAGAAGCCCCGGCUAACUACGUGCCAGCAGCCGCGGUAAUACGUAGGGGGCAAGCGUUAUCCGGAUUUACUGGGGGUAAAGGGGGCGUAGACGGCAGAGCAAGUCUGAAGGGAAAGCCCGCGGGCCAACUGCGGGACUGCUUUUGAAACUGCCCGGCUAGAGUGCUGGAGAGGUAAGCGGAAUUCCUAGUGUAGCGGUGAAAUGCGUAGAUAUUAGGAGGAACACCAGUGGCGAAGGCGGCUUACUGGACAGUAACUGACGUUGAGGCUCGAAAGCGUGGGGAGCAAACAGGAUUAGAUACCCUUGUAGUC